AUGGAACUGAUAAACCAAAGUUUCAACAAAUUUGAUGCGGAAGAGAUUGAGAAAAUAAGAAUCCCAGCUCGUGAGGUGGAGGAUGUGAUAGCCUGGCACUAUGAGAAUACUGGUAUAUUUACGGUCAAAAGUGCAUAUAAACGGGCAUACAGAAUCAGACGGAACUCCAAUGCUGGAGCUUCCUCUUUGGCAAAUGAGGUAGGAGACAGAUGCAUAUGGGACACCAUAUGGAAGGCAAAAGUCCCUCAAAAGAUUAAGGUGUUCGGAUGGCGCGCAGCCACACAGUCACUGGCCACUAAGCAUAAUGCUUUUAGGCAUACAAUUGCCAUCGAUAAUACCUGUGAUCUCUGCGGGAAUGGAAUAGAGGAUGAGUAUCACGCUCUCAUCGCUUGCACAAGAAGCAGGGCCCUGAGGCAUGAACUAAGGUCAGCCUGGGAUUUACCAAAAGAAGAAGCUUUUAGGGAUACUGGAGAUCUCUGGUUUCAAAUGCUGUUGGGCAUGCAAAGCGAGGCAACCAAACGGAGGAUCCUAGUGAUGUGUUGGCAGACAUGGAAUUUGCGUAACGAUGUGAUUCAUGAUUUUGGGAAGGAGACUGUGACGUGA
RNAcentral lists this ribosomal RNA (603 nucleotides) under Triticum aestivum (bread wheat). Its description in RNAcentral is "partial small subunit ribosomal RNA". Lineage: Eukaryota; Viridiplantae; Streptophyta; Magnoliopsida; Poales; Poaceae. The record is from RNAcentral.